GUGGGGAAUAUUGCACAAUGGGCGCAAGCCUGAUGCAGCCAUGCCGCGUGUAUGAAGAAGGCCUUCGGGUUGUAAAGUACUUUCAGCGGGGAGGAAGGCAUUGUGGUUAAUAACCGCAGUGAUUGACGUUACCCGCAGAAGAAGCACCGGCUAACUCCGUGCCAGCAGCCGCGGUAAUACGGAGGGUGCAAGCGUUAAUCGGAAUUACUGGGCGUAAAGCGCACGCAGGCGGUCUGUUAAGUCAGAUGUGAAAUCCCCGGGCUUAACCUGGGAACUGCAUUUGAAACUGGCAGGCUUGAGUCUCGUAGAGGGGGGUAGAAUUCCAGGUGUAGCGGUGAAAUGCGUAGAGAUCUGGAGGAAUACCGGUGGCGAAGGCGGCCCCCUGGACGAAGACUGACGCUCAGGUGCGAAAGCGUGGGGAGCAA
RNAcentral lists this ribosomal RNA (425 nucleotides) under uncultured Pantoea sp. RNAcentral describes it as "bacterial SSU rRNA". It matches the Rfam family "Bacterial small subunit ribosomal RNA", at positions 354 to 771 of the family's 1533-position model. Lineage: Bacteria; Pseudomonadati; Pseudomonadota; Gammaproteobacteria; Enterobacterales; Erwiniaceae. The record is from RNAcentral.